This 373-nucleotide ribosomal RNA is filed under the name uncultured organism. RNAcentral's name for it is "partial 16S ribosomal RNA". It matches the Rfam family "Bacterial small subunit ribosomal RNA", at positions 527 to 896 of the family's 1533-position model. The record is from RNAcentral.
GUAGGUGGCAAGCGUUGUCCGGAAUUAUUGGGCGUAAAGCGCGCGCAGGCGGUUCUUUAAGUCUGAUGUGAAAGCCCACGGCUCAACCGUGGAGGGUCAUUGGAAACUGGAGAACUUGAGUACAGAAGAGGAAAGCGGAAUUCCACGUGUAGCGGUGAAAUGCGUAGAGAUGUGGAGGAACACCAGUGGCGAAGGCGGCUUUCUGGUCUGUAACUGACGCUGAGGCCCGAAAGCGUGGGGAGCAAACAGGGAUUAGAUACCCUGGUAGUCCACGCCGUAAACGAUGAGUGCUAAGUGUUAGGGGGUUUCCGCCCCCUUAGUGCUGCAGCUAACGCAUUAAGCACUCCGCCUGGGGAGUACGGCCGCAAGGCUG